Pollicipes pollicipes is the source of this 199-nucleotide long non-coding RNA. RefSeq lists it as uncharacterized. The record is from RefSeq and is a predicted model, not a curated record. NCBI's taxonomy places the organism in Eukaryota, Metazoa, Arthropoda, Thecostraca, Pollicipedomorpha, Pollicipedidae. The transcript is spliced from 3 exons.
GUUUGGUCUGGUCGUGUGGACGCGCGAAAUCUGUAGGACGCCCACAGACUGACAUCCUGAUUCAACACAUACUUGUGUGGAAAGAUGGAUACACUACUCAGUGUGUCCAUGUCCUUAUUAGGCCAGGCGGCCCACGGCGUGCCACAGACGCCACCGCAGCCGCCUCGCCGGCCGCUGGGCCAGCUGACUAACGUGUGCG